AACGAACGCUGGCGGCAUGCCUAACACAUGCAAGUCGAACGAGAUCUUCGGGUCUAGUGGCGCACGGGUGCGUAACGCGUGGGAAUCUGCCCUUUGGUUCGGAAUAACAGUUGGAAACGACUGCUAAUACCGGAUGAUGACGAAAGUCCAAAGAUUUAUCGCCAGAGGAUGAGCCCGCGUAGGAUUAGCUAGUUGGUGUGGUAAAGGCGCACCAAGGCGACGAUCCUUAGCUGGUCUGAGAGGAUGAUCAGCCACACUGGGACUGAGACACGGCCCAGACUCCUACGAGAGGCAGCAGUGCGGAAUAUUGGACAGUGGGCGAAAGCCUGAUCCAGCAAUGCCGCGUGAGUGAUGAAGGCCUUAGGGUUGUAAAGCUCUUUUACCCGGAAUGAUAAUGACAGUACCGGGAGAAUAAGCUCCGGCUAACUCCGUGCCAGCCGCCGCCGUAA
Molecule: ribosomal RNA, 449 nt
Filed under: uncultured bacterium
Lineage: Bacteria
Description: partial 16S ribosomal RNA
Rfam family: Bacterial small subunit ribosomal RNA
Source: RNAcentral